CGGGUGAGUAACACGUGGGCAACCUGCCCUUUGGAUGGGGGAUAACCCCGCGAAAGCGGGGCUAAUACCGCAUGAUAUUCCGAGGACUUCGGUCUUUGGAUUCAAAGCCUGCAAAGGCGUCUAAGGAGGGGCCCGCGCCCGAUUAGCUAGUUGGUGAGGUAACGGCUCACCAAGGCAAUGAUCGGUAGCCGGUCUGAGAGGAUGGCCGGCCACACUGGAACUGAGACACGGUCCAG
This 236-nucleotide ribosomal RNA is filed under the name uncultured bacterium. RNAcentral describes it as "partial 16S ribosomal RNA". It matches the Rfam family "Bacterial small subunit ribosomal RNA", at positions 103 to 334 of the family's 1533-position model. The record is from RNAcentral.